Molecule: small nuclear RNA, 107 nt
Organism: Trichechus manatus latirostris (Florida manatee)
Lineage: Eukaryota; Metazoa; Chordata; Mammalia; Sirenia; Trichechidae
Source: RefSeq, a predicted model, not a curated record
GUGCUGGCUUCAGCAGCACAUGUACUAAAAUUGGAAUGACACAGAGAAGAUUAACAUGGCCACUGUGCAAGGAUGACACACAAAUUCUUGAUGCAUUUCAGGUUUUU